Small nuclear RNA from Perognathus longimembris pacificus (Pacific pocket mouse), 104 nucleotides. Lineage: Eukaryota; Metazoa; Chordata; Mammalia; Rodentia; Heteromyidae. The record is from RefSeq and is a predicted model, not a curated record.
GUGCUAGCUUCAGCAGCACGUAUACUAAAAUUGGGCCGAUACAGAGAUUAACAUGGUCCCUGUGCAAGGAUGACACGCAAAUUCCUGAAGUGUUCCAUUAAAAA